This 506-nucleotide ribosomal RNA is filed under the name uncultured bacterium. RNAcentral's name for it is "bacterial SSU rRNA". It matches the Rfam family "Bacterial small subunit ribosomal RNA", at positions 28 to 526 of the family's 1533-position model. The record is from RNAcentral.
GACGAACGCUGGCGGCGUGGAUUAGGCAUGCAAGUCGAACGGUAUCAUCCUUUCGGGGGUGAGAGAGUGGCGAACUGGUGAGUAACACGUAGGUUAUCUACCCUCAAGACGGGGACAACCCAGGGAAACUUGGGCUAAUACCGGAUGUGAGCAACUUUUAGUUGUUUGAAAGGUGGCGUAAGCUGUCGCUUGGGGAUGAGCCUGCGUCCUAUUAGUUAGUUGGUGAGGUAACGGCUCACCUAGGCAAUGAUAGGUAGGCGGCCUUAACGGGUGGUCGCCCACACUGGGGAUUGAGAUACGGCCCAGACUCCUACGGGAGGCAGCAGUCGAGAAUAGUCUACAAUGGUCGGAAGACUGAUAGUGCGACGCCGCGUGAACGAUGAAUCCCUUCGGGGUUAAAGUUCUUUUAUAUGUGAGCAGUGCUUCUUAUAUUAACAGUAUGGGGAGAGAGAUAUUAGCAUAUGAAUAAGCAACGGCUAACUCCGUGCCAGCAGCCCGGGUAAUCU